Molecule: ribosomal RNA, 401 nt
Filed under: uncultured bacterium
Lineage: Bacteria
Description: bacterial SSU rRNA
Rfam family: Bacterial small subunit ribosomal RNA
Source: RNAcentral
AAUCAACGCUGGCGGCGUGCCUCAGACAUGCAAGUCGAACGAUUAAACUUUCCUUCGGGAAAGAUAUAAAGUGGCGCACGGGUGAGUAACACGUAAGUAAUCUACCUUCGAGUGGGGAAUAACGUUCGGAAACGAACGCUGACACCGCAUAAUGCAGCGGCACCUAAUGGUGACAGUUGUUAAAGGAGCAAUUCGCUUGAAGAGGAGCUUGCGGCAGAUUAGCUAGNGGUAAGGUAACGGCUUACCAAGGCUACGAUCUGUAACCGGUCUAAGAGGACGGUCGGUCACACUGACACUGAAUAACGGGUCAGACUCCUACGGGAGGCAGCAGUCGGGAAUUUUGGGCAAUGGGCGAAAGCCUGACCCAGCAACGCCGCGUGAAGGAUGAAGUAUUUCGGUAU